AGCGGCGGACGGGUGAGUAACGCGUGGGUAACCUGCCUCAUACACAUGGAUAACAUACCGAAAGGUAUGCUAAUACAAGAUGAAAUAAGAGAUUCGUAUGGAUUUCUUAUCAAAGCUCCGGCGGUAUGAGAUGGACCCGCGUCUGAUUAGCUAGUUGGUAAGGUAACGGCUUACCAAGGCGACGAUCAGUAGCCGACCUGAGAGGGUGAUCGGCCACAUUGGAACUGAGACACGGUCCAAACUCCUACGGGAGGCAGCAGUGGGGAAUAUUGCACAAUGGGCGAAAGCCUGAUGCAGCAACGCCGCGUGAGCGAUGAAGGCCUUCGGGUCGUAAAGCUCUGUCCUCAAGGAAGAUAAUGACGGUACUUGAGGAGGAAGCCCCGGCUAACUACGUGCCAGCAGCCGCGGUAAUACGUAGGGGGCUAGCGUUAUCCGGAUUUACUGGGCGUAAAGGGUGCGUAGGUGGUUUCUUAAGUCAGGAGUGAAAGGCUACGGCUCAACCGUAGUAAGCUCUUGAAACUGGGAAACUUGAGUGCAGGAGAGGAAAGUGGAAUUCCUAGUGUAGCGGUGAAAUGCGUAGAUAUUAGGAGGAACACCAGUAGCGAAGGCGGCUUUCUGGACUGUAACUGACACUGAGGCACGAAAGCGUGGGGAGCAAACAGGAUUAGAUACCCUGGUAGUCCACGCCGUAAACGAUGAGUACUAGGUGU
RNAcentral lists this ribosomal RNA (710 nucleotides) under uncultured bacterium. Its description in RNAcentral is "bacterial SSU rRNA". It matches the Rfam family "Bacterial small subunit ribosomal RNA", at positions 94 to 823 of the family's 1533-position model. The record is from RNAcentral.